Molecule: long non-coding RNA, 1371 nt
Filed under: Felis catus (domestic cat)
Lineage: Eukaryota; Metazoa; Chordata; Mammalia; Carnivora; Felidae
Description: lncRNA (ENSFCAG00000049717.1)
Source: RNAcentral
CCCCAGCUUUCAUACCUUUUAAGUUCGUCAUGCCUGUGGGGCAAUGCAAUAGAUACACUGCAUUGCAGCUGGAGAGAAGAACCUGGGCUCACCUUAAAGAUCACCUUAAAGAUCUGUUCAUACCGAUUUGAGAAUAUUAAGUGUGCAUGUGAUAAUUGAGACUUGGGUAAAGGCCAGAUUGCCUACAUAGAGUUUAAGAUCAGAAGACCAUGAACAGGUACCUAGGAUCCCCAACAGUUGGAGCUAAGGUAAAUUGAAGACACUUAGCUUGUCAAAGUGACCAAGAAGGACAGCCUGAUAGUGUUUCUUCUCUCCCUUCCCUGUACCUCACAACAAAUGUGUAUUUGCACAACUCUUCUAAUAGUAAUUAGUAAACUAUUGGGGGGAAAACAAAAACACAAAACAAAACAACAACCCCCCCCCCCCAAAAUGGUUUAGGGACCCAAAGUUAGGAUUUAAACUACUUGUAGAAUUUGGUAAAUGGCUGUGGAAAAGGGAUACUAUCUCAAAAGUAACUUCAAAUUUUAAUACUAUUUUUUAAAAUCACUUCACACUGGAAAAAGUAUUCGAUGAGAAUUUGUAAGAGUCUGUCUUUAAAUUUGUGGUACCAUAUUUUCAUUUCUGGACAAAUUCUGUGUAAUGCUGCCAAAAGUUAAAACUUAAGUACAUAUUUCUAACCUUUUUAAAGUAACAUUUAAAAAUAAUUAAAAUCUCCUAGAGAAAUGAGCUAUUGGGUAACAGACCCAAACAGAAAUUAGCCUUGGAAACUAAGACCACUAAUUGAUUUCAUAAAAAUUAACCUUUAAACAGCAUUGCAAGUAAAAAGAACCAUUUCUCAUUGACUGAAUGAAUCUUUCAUUGUCCUUUUGAAAUCACAGAAAUCAUACAUGAAUAUGUUAUUGUUGCAAAAGAUUCAAACCACACAGAAAUAUCUAGAAAAAAACAUGAAUGUCCCCCUUCUCUGAUCUGCCACUCCUCCUGCUUUUGCCUCCUUUCCCUAGAUGCAACAAUUCUCAGCUGUUUGUUGUUCCUCCAUCUAGUCCUCUGUGCUGGACACCGAGCACACACCAGUGAAUGUGAAACAUUGUUCUGCAACUUGCUUUUCUGCCCUUUCCGUAUCUUGGAGUUUCUGGUGUCAGAAGUGGGAUCAAAAAGAUGACCCCUUCAGUGACUCUGAGGCUGAUGAACAACAAUGUGUGGGUACCCGUGGAGUUCAAUGCGCUCACUAUUUUAUUGCGAAUUGCAGAGUGAGAAGGUAAGUUUCUGGGAUGUCUGUUUUUAUAUGAAAAACAUUUAUGGAAUGGUGGGUGUAUUUUAGUUAAAGAAAAAAGGGAGGAAUUCUGUCCUAAAAUAAAAUGACUGGUUGUUCCA